UCGAGAAUCUUCGGCAAUGGGCGCAAGCCUGACCGAGCGACGCCGCGUGCGGGAUGAAGGCCUUCGGGUUGUAAACCGCUGUCAGAGGGGAUGAAAUGCGGGUGGGUUCUCCCAUCCGUUUGACAUAGCCUCAGAGGAAGGACGGGCUAAGUUCGUGCCAGCAGCCGCGGUAAGACGAACCGUCCAAACGUUAUUCGGAAUUACUGGGCUUAAAGGGUGCGUAGGCGGCGCGGAAAGUUGGGUGUGAAAUCCCUCGGCUCAACCGAGGAACUGCGCUCAAUACUACCGUGCUCGAGGGAGAUAGAGGUGAGCGGAACUUAGGGUGGAGCGGUGAAAUGCGUUGAUAUCCUAAGGAACACCGGUGGCGAAAGCGGCUCACUGGAUCUCUUCUGACGCUGAGGCACGAAAGCUAGGGUAGCGAACGGG
This 426-nucleotide ribosomal RNA is filed under the name uncultured bacterium. Its description in RNAcentral is "bacterial SSU rRNA". It matches the Rfam family "Bacterial small subunit ribosomal RNA", at positions 355 to 776 of the family's 1533-position model. The record is from RNAcentral.